CAGCCGCCGCGGUAACACGAAGGGGGCUAGCGUUGCUCGGAAUUACUGGGCGUAAAGGGAGCGUAGGCGGACAUUUAAGUCAGGGGUGAAAUCCCAGAGCUCAACUCUGGAACUGCCUUUGAUACUGGGUGUCUUGAGUGUGAUAGAGGUAUGUGGAACUCCGAGUGUAGAGGUGAAAUUCGUAGAUAUUCGGAAGAACACCAGUGGCGAAGGCGACAUACUAGAUCAUUACUGACGCUGAGGCUCGAAAGCGUGGGGAGCAAACAGGAUUAGAUACCCCAGUAGUCCCUGUCUCUUAUAU
RNAcentral lists this ribosomal RNA (301 nucleotides) under uncultured bacterium. RNAcentral's name for it is "partial 16S ribosomal RNA". It matches the Rfam family "Bacterial small subunit ribosomal RNA", at positions 509 to 809 of the family's 1533-position model. The record is from RNAcentral.